Molecule: ribosomal RNA, 551 nt
Filed under: uncultured bacterium
Lineage: Bacteria
Description: partial 16S ribosomal RNA
Rfam family: Bacterial small subunit ribosomal RNA
Source: RNAcentral
UGGGGAAUAUUGCACAAUGGGCGCAAGCCUGAUGCAGCCAUGCCGCGUGUGUGAAGAAGGCCUUCGGGUUGUAAACCACUUUCAGCGAGGAGGAAGGUGGUGGACUUAAUACGUUCAUCAAUUGACGUUACUCGCAGAAGAAGCACCGGCUAACUCCGUGCCAGCAGCCGCGGUAAUACGGAGGGUGCAAGCGUUAAUCGGAAUUACUGGGCGUAAAGCGCNCGCAGGCGGUUUGUUAAGUCAGAUGUGAAAUCCCCGGGCUCAACCUGGGAACUGCAUUUGAAACUGGCAAGCUAGAGUCUCGUAGAGGGGGGUAGAAUUCCAGGUGUAGCGGUGAAAUGCGUAGAGAUCUGGAGGAAUACCGGUGGCGAAGGCGGCCCCCCUGGACGAAGACUGACGCUCAGGCUGCGAAAGCGUGGGGCAGCAAACAGGAUUAGAUACCCUGGUAGUCCACGCUGUAAACGAUGUCNAUUUGGAGGUUGUGCCCUUGAGGCGUGGCUUCCGGAGCUAACGCGUUAAAUCGACCGCCUGGGGAGUACGGCCGCAAGGUU